Molecule: ribosomal RNA, 457 nt
Filed under: uncultured bacterium
Lineage: Bacteria
Description: bacterial SSU rRNA
Rfam family: Bacterial small subunit ribosomal RNA
Source: RNAcentral
AACAAACGCUGGCGGCGUGCCUAAUACAUGCAAGUCAAACGGGUAGCAAUACUAGUGGCGCACGGGUGAGGAAUACAUGGGUAAUCUGCCCUCGAGUUGGGGAUAACCAGUCGAAAGAUUGGCUAAUACCGGAUAAGACCACAAGAUCUGCGGAUCAAGGGUUAAAGGUUUUUCGCUUGAGGAUGAGCCCAUGUGGGAUUAGCUAGUUGGUGAGGUAAUGGCUCACCAAGGCGACGAUCCCUAACUGGUCUUAGAGGAUGAUCAGUCACACUGGAACUGAGACACGGUCCAGACUCCUACGGGAGGCAGCAGUAGGGAAUAUUGCACAAUGGGGAAACCCUGAUGCAGCGACGCCGCGUGAGUGAUGAAGGCCUUCGGGUCGUAAAGGCUCUGUCGUAUGGGAAUAACACAAUGAAUGUACCAUGCAAGAAAGGAUCGGCUAACUUCGUGCCAGCAG